GCAGGCGUGGCCUAGUGGCCAAGGAGUUUGACUUGAGAUCAGAAGGUUGAUGGUUAGAUCCCCAGCUCCA
Danionella cerebrum is the source of this 70-nucleotide non-coding RNA. The record is from the annotation of a GenBank genome assembly. NCBI's taxonomy places the organism in Eukaryota, Metazoa, Chordata, Actinopteri, Cypriniformes, Danionidae.